This 497-nucleotide ribosomal RNA is filed under the name uncultured bacterium. RNAcentral's name for it is "partial 16S ribosomal RNA". It matches the Rfam family "Bacterial small subunit ribosomal RNA", at positions 28 to 507 of the family's 1533-position model. The record is from RNAcentral.
GAUGAACGCUGGCGGCGUGCCUAAUACAUGCAAGUCGAGCGAACAGACGAGGAGUUUGCUCCUCUGACGUUAGCGGCGGACGGGUGAGUAACACGUGGAUAACCUACCUAUAAUACUGGGAUAACUUCGGGAAACCGGAGCUAAUACCGGAUAAUAUAUUGAACCGCAUGGUUCAAUAGUGAAAGACGGUUUUGCUGUCACUUAUAGAUGGAUCCGCGCCGCAUUAGCUAGUUGGUAAGGUAACGGCUUACCAAGGCAACGAUGCGUAGCCGACCUGAGAGGGUGAUCGGCCACACUGGAACUGAGACACGGUCCAGACUCCUACGGGAGGCAGCAGUAGGGAAUCUUCCGCAAUGGGCGAAAGCCUGACGGAGCAACGCCGCGUGAGUGAUGAAGGUCUUCGGAUCGUAAAACUCUGUUAUUAGGGAAGAACAAAUGUGUAAGUAACUAUGCACGUCUUGACGGUACCUAAUCAGAAAGCCACGGCUAACUACGUG